This 253-nucleotide ribosomal RNA is filed under the name uncultured bacterium. Its description in RNAcentral is "partial 16S ribosomal RNA". It matches the Rfam family "Bacterial small subunit ribosomal RNA", at positions 524 to 776 of the family's 1533-position model. The record is from RNAcentral.
CACGUAGGGCGCAAGCGUUGUCCGGAAUUAUUGGGCGUAAAGAGCUCGUAGGUGGUCUGUUGCGUCCGCUGUGAAAACUCGGGGCUUAACCCCGAGCCUGCAGUGGAUACGGGCAGACUAGAGGUAGGUAGGGGAGAAUGGAAUUCCUGGUGUAGCGGUGAAAUGCGCAGAUAUCAGGAGGAACACCGGUGGCGAAGGCGGUUCUCUGGGCCUUACCUGACACUGAGGAGUGAAAGCGUGGGGAGCGAACAGG